RNAcentral lists this ribosomal RNA (497 nucleotides) under uncultured bacterium. RNAcentral's name for it is "partial 16S ribosomal RNA". It matches the Rfam family "Bacterial small subunit ribosomal RNA", at positions 28 to 507 of the family's 1533-position model. The record is from RNAcentral.
GAUGAACGCUGGCGGCGUGCCUAAUACAUGCAAGUCGAGCGAACGGACGAGAAGCUUGCUUUUCUGAUGUUAGCGGCGGACGGGUGAGUAACACGUGGAUAACCUACCUAUAAGACUGGGAUAACUUCGGGAAACCGGAGCUAAUACCGGAUAAUAUUUUGAACCGCAUGGUUCAAAAGUGAAAGACGGUCUUGCUGUCACUUAUAGAUGGAUCCGCGCUGCAUUAGCUAGUUGGUAAGGUAACGGCUUACCAAGGCAACGAUGCAUAGCCGACCUGAGAGGGGGAUAGGCCACACGGGAACGGAGACACGGUCCAGACGCCUACGGGAGGCAGCAGUAGGGAAUCUUCGGCAAUGGGCGAAAGCCUGACGGAGCAACGCCGCGUGAGAGAUGAAGAUCUUGGGAUCGUAAAACUCGGUUAUUAGGGAAAAACAUAUGUGUAAGUAACUGUGCAGAUCGUGACGGUACCUAAUCAGAAAGCCACGGCUAACUACGUG